UACAGAGGUCCCAAGCGUUGUUCGGAUUCACUGGGCGUAAAGGGUGCGUAGGCGGUUUUACAAGUCUGACGUGAAAUCCUGGAGCCUAACUCCGGAACGGCGUCGGAAACUGUAAAACUAGAGGAUUGGAGAGGGGACUGGAAUUCUCGGUGUAGCAGUGAAAUGCGUAGAUAUCGAGAGGAACACCAGUGGCGAAGGCGAGUCCCUGGACAAUACCUGACGCUGAGGCACGAAAGCUAGGGGAGCAAACAGG
This 253-nucleotide ribosomal RNA is filed under the name uncultured bacterium. RNAcentral describes it as "partial 16S ribosomal RNA". It matches the Rfam family "Bacterial small subunit ribosomal RNA", at positions 524 to 776 of the family's 1533-position model. The record is from RNAcentral.